AUAUUAUCCUAAUCUCUUGCUGUAGGGUGGUAGCUCUGAAGAUGAUCCUACUCCAGUUACUAUACUAGACACGCUCAAUGAUAUAGUGUCUCAGUAUGGAGAUAGACCAGCACUGAAAGUGAAGAGAGGAGGGGAAUGGAAGACAUGGAGUUAUACUCAGUAUCAUGCUGAUGUACAGAGAGUUGCUAAGAGUUGUAUUGCUAUUGGAUUGGAGCCUCAUUAUGGUGUCUCUAUUAUUGGGUUUAACUCACCUGAAUGGGCCAUGACUUUCAUGGGAGCUAUAAUGGCUGGUGGUAUUCCUGCUGGUAUAUACAUUACCAAUAAUAAAGAGGCGUGUCAGCACAUUGCUA
Long non-coding RNA from Amphimedon queenslandica, 350 nucleotides. RefSeq lists it as uncharacterized. The record is from RefSeq and is a predicted model, not a curated record. The transcript has 3 exons. Lineage: Eukaryota; Metazoa; Porifera; Demospongiae; Haplosclerida; Niphatidae.